CCCUUAGAUGUUCUGGGCCGCACGUGCGCUACACUGAUGCAUUCAACGAGUGUACCUUGGCCGAGAGGCCUGGGCAAUCUUUUGAACGUGCAUCGUGAUAGGGAUAGAUUAUUGCAAUUAUUAAUCUUGAACGAGGAAUUCCUAGUAAACGCAGAUCAUCAAUCUGCAUUGAUUACGUCCCUGCCCUUUGUACACACCGCCCGUCGCACCUACCGAUUGGAUGGUCCGGUGAAGCCUCGGGAUUGUGGCGGUUGCCUUUAUUGGUGGCCGCCGCGAGAACUUGUCUAAACCUUAUCAUCUAGAGGAAGGUGAAGUCGUAACA
RNAcentral lists this ribosomal RNA (322 nucleotides) under uncultured eukaryote. Its description in RNAcentral is "partial 18S ribosomal RNA". It matches the Rfam family "Eukaryotic small subunit ribosomal RNA", at positions 1470 to 1796 of the family's 1831-position model. The record is from RNAcentral.